This 440-nucleotide ribosomal RNA is filed under the name uncultured bacterium. RNAcentral's name for it is "partial 16S ribosomal RNA". It matches the Rfam family "Bacterial small subunit ribosomal RNA", at positions 338 to 795 of the family's 1533-position model. The record is from RNAcentral.
CCUACGGGUGGCAGCAGUGGGGGAUAUUGCACAAUGGGGGAAACCCUGAUGCAGCGACGCCGCGUGAGUGAUGGAGUAUUUCGGUAUGUAAAGCUCUAUCAGCAGGGAAGAUAAUGACGGUACCUGACUAAGAAGCUCCGGCUAAAUAAGUGCCCGCCGCCGCGGUAAGACGUAUGGGGCAAGCGUUAUCCGGAUUUACUUGGUGUAAAGGGAGCGGAGACGGCAGGGCAAGGCUGAUGUGAAAGUCCGGGGCUCAACCCCGGGACUGCAUUGGAAACUGUCCGGCUAGAGUGCAGGAGAGGUAAGUGGAAUUCCUGGUGUAGCGGUGAAAUGCGUAGAUAUUAGGAGGAACACCAGCGGCGAAGGCGGCUUACUGGACUGUAACUGACGUUGAGGCUCGAAAGCGUGGGGAGCAAACAGGAUUAGAUACCCCUGUAGUC